AGAGAUUGAACAUAAGAGUUUGAUCCUGGCUCAGAUUGAACGCUGGCGGCAUGCUUUACACAUGCAAGUCGGACGGCAGCACAGAGAAGCUUGCUUCUUGGGUGGCGAGUGGCGAACGGGUGAGUAACAUAUCGGAACGUACCGAGUAGUGGGGGAUAACUGAUCGAAAGAUCAGCUAAUACCGCAUACGUCUUGAGAGGGAAAGCAGGGGACCUUCGGGCCUUGCGCUAUUCGAGCGGCCGAUAUCUGAUUAGCUGGUUGGUGGGGUAAAGGCUCACCAAGGCGACGAUCAGUAGCGGGUCUGAGAGGAUGAUCCGCCACACUGGGACUGAGACACGGCCCAGACUCCUACGGGAGGCAGCAGUGGGGAAUUUUGGACAAUGGGCGCAAGCCUGAUCCAGCCAUGCCGCGUGUCUGAAGAAGGCCUUCGGGUUGUAAAGGACUUUUGUCAGGGAAGAAAAGGCUGUUGCUAAUAUCAGCGGCUGAUGACGGUACCUGAAGAAUAAGCACCGGCUAACUACGUGCCAGCAGCCGCGGUAAUACGUAGGGUGCGAGCGUUAAUCGGAAUUACUGGGCGUAAAGCGGGCGCAGACGGUUACUUAAGCAGGAUGUGAAAUCCCCGGGCUCAACCCGGGAACUGCGUUCUGAACUGGGUGACUCGAGUGUGUCAGAGGGAGGUAGAAUUCCACGUGUAGCAGUGAAAUGCGUAGAGAUGUGGAGGAAUACCGAUGGCGAAGGCAGCCUCCUGGGAUAACACUGACGUUCAUGCCCGAAAGCGUGGGUAGCAAACAGGAUUAGAUACCCUGGUAGUCCACGCCCUAAACGAUGUCAAUUAGCUGUUGGGCAACUUGAUUGCUUGGUAGCGUAGCUAACGCGUGAAAUUGACCGCCUGGGGAGUACGGUCGCAAGAUUAAAACUCAAAGGAAUUGACGGGGACCCGCACAAGCGGUGGAUGAUGUGGAUUAAUUCGAUGCAACGCGAAGAACCUUACCUGGUCUUGACAUGUACGGAAUCCUCCAGAGACGGAGGAGUGCCUUCGGGAGCCGUAACACAGGUGCUGCAUGGCUGUCGUCAGCUCGUGUCGUGAGAUGUUGGGUUAAGUCCCGCAACGAGCGCAACCCUUGUCAUUAGUUGCCAUCAUUCAGUUGGGCACUCUAAUGAGACUGCCGGUGACAAGCCGGAGGAAGGUGGGGAUGACGUCAAGUCCUCAUGGCCCUUAUGACCAGGGCUUCACACGUCAUACAAUGGUCGGUACAGAGGGUAGCCAAGCCGCGAGGCGGAGCCAAUCUCACAAAACCGAUCGUAGUCCGGAUUGCACUCUGCAACUCGAGUGCAUGAAGUCGGAAUCGCUAGUAAUCGCAGGUCAGCAUACUGCGGUGAAUACGUUCCCGGGUCUUGUACACACCGCCCGUCACACCAUGGGAGUGGGGGAUACCAGAAGUAGGUAGGGUAACCGCAAGGAGUCCGCUUACCACGGUAUGCUUCAUGACUGGGGUGAAGUCGUAACAAGGUAGCCGUAGGGGAACCUGCGGCUGGAUCACCUCCUUUCUA
This 1551-nucleotide ribosomal RNA is filed under the name Neisseria meningitidis. RNAcentral's name for it is "bacterial SSU rRNA". It matches the Rfam family "Bacterial small subunit ribosomal RNA". Lineage: Bacteria; Pseudomonadati; Pseudomonadota; Betaproteobacteria; Neisseriales; Neisseriaceae. The record is from RNAcentral.